Long non-coding RNA from Acanthochromis polyacanthus (spiny chromis), 2182 nucleotides. RefSeq lists it as uncharacterized. The transcript is spliced from 4 exons. Lineage: Eukaryota; Metazoa; Chordata; Actinopteri; Pomacentridae. The record is from RefSeq and is a predicted model, not a curated record.
GUUUAAUCUCCACUGGCAGUUUGUUCCACUUGUUUGCAGUGUAACAGCUAAAUGCUGGUUCUCCUUGUCUGGACACUAGCUGACCUGAGUCCUUGGAUCUAAGAGACUGCUCGUUUGAUCAAGUACUCAUCGGAUGAAAAAACGAGAUCCAUAGAAUCUCCACCCUGGAACCCACAGUACUCCACGGAUCCAUGUCCCGACUCUUCAGAACUGUUUUGGCAGCACAAGGUGAAUCUACACAAUAUUAGCGCUGAACGGCCAAGUGUGACUUGUGGAGUUGCUGUUGAGGAAGGAAGGACUCAUCUGGAGACAGAAUCACAAACGCGUCAGAGAAUCAGUCGCAGUUGCAUUUAUCAUUUCCAACCCCUGCACCCGAAGACUGUGCAACUUAAUGUGGAAGAGAACACAGAUUCCAUGUGUGAAAUAUUGGAUAUACGUACGGAACUCAGGCGAAUCCCAUGCUCGCUUAACCUCGCCAUGUCUUGCAGCUGAGUAUUCGGCGUCCUGUGCCGUGGCUCUGUUGCGCGCAGGUACGUUCAGAGCAGUGGGCGCGUCCUGUGGGUGCCGGAGGAAGUAUGUUGAAAACACAGCUCACACUGAAGAAUAUCCCUGUUUUGCUGAGUCCUGUAAUCAUUAGGAGGUCAGGUGAGUAGCCUGUGUGUCAGGGAGGGGGUUGGUUGAUUGACUAACUGACUGACUGACUGAUUGAUUAAUCUAUCAUGUAAGAGGUACACAAAGAUGCAAAUUAUAUAAUGUGCAUACUUUUACAUUUGGCACUAUCUAUACAGUACUUCUCCAUUGUUUGAGGUUGUUUUCUUUGUAUAACAAAGAUAAUUUCAUAGUUUGCGCAACUGCUUGUGUGUUUCAAGGCCUAUCUAGUUUCAAAAUAAAUUAUUUAUAGUUUCAAGUCUAUUAGAUAUGAGUUAUGUGAAUAUAUUAAGCUGUAAUAUGAAGUUAAAAUACAGGAAGGAUUAAUCCAUGAAUGAACUCUUCUCAGAAACUUACUGUACAGUGUUUCACAGACUAAUUCAAUCAGGCCUUUACAUGUUAAUUUAAUGUUGUAAAUCUGAGUUAUUUCACUGUUAUAUUUUAAUGUUUUCUUCUCUAUUCUUUUUACAAAAUAAUGUUUUUUGUGUUGUGAAAGCGCUUGUUCUACUGUAACCAUCUACACAUUAAUAACUGCUUUUCAUUUGCUGCUUGAAUCAGUGUGCCACAAAUGGCAAGUAAAACUAAAUAUUUGAGGUUCAGCAGGAUAUGGCAACCCAUUUCUGUUGACAUUGUUUUUUUCUCCAUUGAUCACAUUCAUGGCUUUACAGGACAAGACAGAUACAGGACAACAGUAAGUACGCUGAAACGAAGAGAGUAGGGUCACUGGGUUUAACAUCUGUUUUGAGGGACAAAGUCAAAACAUGGGUGAGGGUCUCAACAACAGAGACAAUUCCUACUUUUACAAUACUGGACCUUAUUUCAUCAUGAUCUGCAAAGUAGACUUCCAUUUUCAGUGUAGUCUCAUUCUAUGGAGGUACAAAGAACAAACAUACUUUUGCAAGAAUCCUGUUUCUUUGUUUUCACAAAGAGGGAAUGUCAAUUUUGCUUAUAUUUUCUGAGGAUGGACAAAUAUUUACAAAGGAACUCAUUGAACCAGUUUGUUAUACAAGAAGGGGUUAAAUUUCUUACACUGUUCAUAACUGAGAUGGAAUAGGUAUGUAGACCUAUUUCCACCACAACAAAUCCAAUAUUAACAAUGAAAAAUCCAAUUGGGAGACAAUUAUCCAUUUGUGAAGUAAAAAAAAAAAGUUUCAAACUCAUGUUUUUUGAUUUCUUUUGAUGGUUUCAUUUGAACAAGGAACAACAACGUGACACCAAGAAAACUGUUCUUUGUGAAAUUCUUUCAUUUUUAAAGACAGAACAGAAAAUCUUAUUUCAAAAGUUACUUAAUGUCUCAUCAACACGUUUUCCCUUCUAACUGCAUGUCAUUUACGAAGUGUGUUUUAAACAAUAGACCAGCAUUUCUGCAUUACUGUGUGUGUGUGUGUGGGGGGGGGGGGGGGGUAAUUAUAGGGGUUGUGGGGACCUAAUGGCUAAGGGUUAGGGUUAGAUAUGAAUGGGAGUCAAUGGUAGGUCCCCACAAGGAUAGAAUACACAGUGUGUCUGUGUGUGUGUGUGUGUGUGUGUGUGUGUG